RNAcentral lists this ribosomal RNA (474 nucleotides) under Nyctimantis arapapa. RNAcentral describes it as "partial 12S ribosomal RNA". Lineage: Eukaryota; Metazoa; Chordata; Amphibia; Anura; Hylidae. The record is from RNAcentral.
UGGUCCUAGCCUUGUAAUCAAUUAUUAUUUAAUAUACACAUGCAAGUCUCCGCCCCCCUGUGAAAACGCCCUUAAACCCCUAAUAGGGRCUGGGAGCUGGUAUUAGGAUCAACUUUUUAGCCCAAGACACCUAGCUACGCCACACCUACACAGGAAUUCAGCAGUGAUUAACAUUGAGCAUGAGCGACAGCUUGACUCAGUUAAAGUAAAAAGAGCCGGCAAAGCUGGUGCCAGCCGCCGCGGUUACACCAUGCGGCUCGAAUUGAUUUCUUUCGGCGUAAAGCGUGGUUAAAGUCACCCUUAAAUUAUAGUUAAACUAAGAUUAAGCUGUAAUACGCUUGUAUCUAGGAAAAUCAUAAACGAAAGUUACUAUAACCACAACAACUUGAAUCCACGACAGUUGGGACACAAACUGGGAUUAGAUACCCCACUAUGCCCAACCGUAAACUUUAACUUACACCCGCAUCGCCAGGG